Molecule: non-coding RNA, 781 nt
Organism: Phasianus colchicus (ring-necked pheasant)
Lineage: Eukaryota; Metazoa; Chordata; Aves; Galliformes; Phasianidae
Source: RefSeq, a predicted model, not a curated record
CCGCCCUCUGCUGCAGAGCCUUUUCCUGAUACCCAGCCUGAACGUCUUCUGCCCACAGCACACUUUUGUCAUCGUUUUCUAACUCAUCCUGGUGGGUGCCAGGGUGCUGCUGAGGGCUGUGACCGACCGUCACAAGGCUGCAGACAUCUCUGGAAAGCCAGGUCCCGCCUGCGUGGUGUCCAGCCUCUUCCCUGAAGGUUUCACUUCGUACUUACAAGAUACAUGCCAGGACUGGAGGUGGUGGGCUACGAGGAGAGGCUGUGCUGCCACAGAGGAUGCCAUCUGACAGCGGUGGGUAGAAUAUGACAAUGUCACUCAUUCAUCACCUGGUAAUUAAGCAUUUUAUAAGCUGCCUGAAAACAAAUUACAAGUUCUCUUCAUCUGCCACUGAGGGUCUAAGAGCCAUGUGCCUGCCCUGAGCACAGCUUUUGGCAGCACCUCCCUCCUUCCUGUCCCCAAACCACCUCAAGCUUAUUUAUGGUAAAGGAGCAUAACAUGGUUCUUCAUAAUUCACUGUCUCAGAAGUUUAUGCUAUUAAGUAGUUUAUGUUUCUGUGUUUCUGUAUUUCUGUAUACAGUACGUUGCGCGCUGUGCUGUAGGAACUUUGUGACAUGAUCUGCUUAUCAAUGGAAAAUGAAGUGUGGGUGAUGGCUUGAAUUCAUAGGUCAUGAACACUGCUGGGAAUGGAGCCUGGAACCUCACAGUCCUUUCUUUAACCAAUGGUAAUAUUCUGUCUCAAGUGGUCUCAACAGGCUGCUGACUUCAAAACUGAAAUAGUUCA